UACGUAGGUGGCAAGCGUUGUCCGGAUUUACUGGGCGUAAAGAGCGCGCAGGCGGCUGGCCAAGUCCGAUGUGAAAUCUCCCGGCUUAACUGGGAAACUGCAUCGGAAACUGACCGGCUUGAAGGUGGGAGAGGGUAGUGGAAUUCCCGGUGUAGUGGUGAAAUGCGUAGAUAUCAGGAGGAACACCUAUUGCGAAGGCAGCUCGCUGGGACGUUACUGACGCUGAGACGCGAAAGCGUGGGGAGCAAACAGG
RNAcentral lists this ribosomal RNA (253 nucleotides) under uncultured bacterium. Its description in RNAcentral is "partial 16S ribosomal RNA". It matches the Rfam family "Bacterial small subunit ribosomal RNA", at positions 524 to 776 of the family's 1533-position model. The record is from RNAcentral.